This 588-nucleotide ribosomal RNA is filed under the name uncultured bacterium. Its description in RNAcentral is "bacterial SSU rRNA". It matches the Rfam family "Bacterial small subunit ribosomal RNA", at positions 248 to 855 of the family's 1533-position model. The record is from RNAcentral.
GUAGGUGGGGGAACGGCUCAACAGGUUGAGGGUGGGUGGCCGACCAGAGAGGGUGAUCGACCACAUCCGGACUCAGACACGAGCCAGCAUCGUGGGGGAGGCAGCAGUGGGGAAUAAUGCACAACGGGGGAAACCCUGACGCAGCAACGCCGCUUGAGUGAGGACGGCGUUUUGGUAGUAAAGCUCUGUGGUCAGGGAGGAUAAUGACGGUACUUGAGGAGGAAUCCACGUCGAAUUACUUGCCAGCAGCAGCGGUAAUAAUUAGGUGGCGAGGAUUGUCAUCAUUUAUUGGGGGUAAAGGGAGGGUAGGCGGACUCUUAGUAGAGAUGUGAAAUACCCGGGCUCAACUUGGGUGCUGCAUUUCAAACUGGAAGUCUAGAGUGCAGGAGAGGAGAAUGGAAUUCCUAGGGUAGCGGUGAAAUGCGUAGAGAUUUGGAAGAACACCAGUGGCGAAGGGGCUUCUCUGGACUGUAACUGACGCUGAGGCUCAAAGCGUGUGAGCUCACACGAUUUUAUACCCCGGUAGAGCACACAGUAAAAGAUGAAUAAUAGGUGUAGGGGUUGUCAUGACCUCUGUGCCGCAGCUAA